GUAUCUGAAGCCUGACGAGGAUGAGAACCUCCGGGGGCAAGAGGUUCGACUCGAGCGAAGCGAGAGAACGUUGCGUCAGCAACGGCCCGCAGUGGUAAGUCAUCCUCUGUCACCGGCAG
This 119-nucleotide small RNA is filed under the name Salmonella enterica. Its description in RNAcentral is "RtT sRNA". It matches the Rfam family "RtT RNA". Rfam says of the family: This family represents a bacterial cis-regulatory element known as RtT RNA. The exact function of RtT is unknown although it is thought that it may be involved in changing the cellular response in relation to amino acid starvation. Lineage: Bacteria; Pseudomonadati; Pseudomonadota; Gammaproteobacteria; Enterobacterales; Enterobacteriaceae. The record is from RNAcentral.